UUAAACCCUGCAAAUGUUUCAACUCGACAGGAGCAAGUUGAAGCUGCAAGGAAAGGACUAGAUCAGGCAAAGGAGGAGGGACUAAAACUCCAUCAGUCAUCUGACAAUGAUGAUGAGGACUCCAUGCCUCUCACUCCUGAGGAACAUCCUCCAGCACGCCGCACACGCAAACACAAAGAGAAGGGUGCCCCCUCUACGAGGGUCAGUGGCAGGCUUAGAGGAACACCUGCCAAAACGGGCGAUGAUGUGUCUUCAACACGUCCAUCAACAGACACAGAUAGAGGGAGUAGGGGGGAGACGCUGGUAUCUGAGCCCAGUAUCAGCCGUGCCAGUCUCAAGUCCCCCCAGGCUAGAGAAGUGCCUGAUAGACCCCGUAGUGGUAUGCGAGGGAGAGGGGCAACCAAAGAACCCGUGGCCUUCCCAGCACACAUCCAACCAGAGCACCCAAAACUUCAAACUGAUCAGCAGCUCUCUGAUUUAGAAGUGACGCAAGAUUUAGUCUCCAGAUCAAGACAGGCACCAUCUCCUCUUCGCCAGUCCCUUUCUCCAAGUUCAGUGGCUUCAACUGCUGCCUCUCCAUCAGUGGACAGAAGCUCUAGUGGACACGCUUCUGCAGUGCCUACACAAAGAGAAACGGGUGAUGAGCAUGGAACAGAUGCACACACUGAUGUUCCUCUUUCGGGCAUAAGAGAGAGGGGAGCAUCAAUAUCUUUGGACUCUACCUGUUCUUCUGAACACCAGCUGGAGCAGGAUGGCCAACACUCACAGGCUUCUCCACACCCACGUUCACCACGUAAGAGGCAGACUGCUGAUGGAGAGGUCUUAAGAGGCCUUCCGGAAGAUUCCCCAUCUGCUAAGGUUCUUAGGAAGCUUCCCGGCCGCCUGGUCACUGUGGUUGAGGAGAAAGAACCAAGGCGAAGGAGGAGGGGUUGUAGUAUGAGUGGGGGAGUGCAUACUGAAGGUUCGUCAGAAGAGUUGGAGCAGGCUGAAUCGGCUCAAGAUGCUGCCCCCUAUUCUCCUGAUCGAGUAAAUCAACUGCUCAAAGAUAAGACUCUUCCUAAAUCGCCAUCUAUGUCACCCUCUCAGACACAGCAAGCGCAGGACCAGGUCUCUCCAUCAUCAUCAUCGCUGUCAAGUCCGGGUAGAGGGUACCACCCGUAUUCUCCAACUCACCAUUCACCAGACAUGCCUGUUCUUAGGAAUUUGCCAGUGCGCCGGCGCCUGGAGACAGAGUCUCGAAUGGCUGCACAGUUAGGAGAACAGUACCCAGGUAGAGGCAGAGGGCUGGACCGACGCACUCCACUGUCACCAAAGAAACAGGAACCUAUUUCAGCUAAGGACAACACUGCCACCCCUGCUGUUGCUCCUGAUCCCAAUGCAGCCAAUCCUAAUCCAGUGAAGCGAAAAAGGGGUCGACCUCCAAAAGUGUCUAGGCCACCAGAAGCCCCAGAGCAAAAGAUUCCCAUGGUUCAAAAAUCAAUAACUGAAGAACAAAGUCCACCACCCCCAAUAAUAAAACGAAAGCGGGGUCGACCUCGCAAAAAUUCCAUCAUAAAUAUAGCAGAUGCUGGUAAUUCUGGACAAGUUUCAAGCUCUCCUUCAACCUUUUCCCCAUCCGUUUCACAUGAAAGCCUUUCUUCUCUAAACCGUAAUUCUUCUGUUAGGCCUUUAAUUUUGCCCUCUGACCCUGAGUGCCCAGUAGUACGUUCUCCAUCUGAUGUUCCUUCUGCAUCAUCUAAAGCUGCUGAUUCCAUGCCUUCUCCUAAAAUGGACUCUCAGUCCACUACACCCAUUCCCGAAUUUCCAGCACCAAAUGAAUCUCGGAUAAAGCUAACGCCUACUUCACAACUCUCAUUUGGUGAUGAACACACCAAUCUGAAUGUCAUGGCUUCACAUUCUGAUUCUCCAACUAUUUCAACAAUCACUUUAACACAAGCCAUUCCUUCAGAAAAUAUCAGUCCCAACAACCCACAACCUUCAUUUUCACUACAGCCCACCGUUACCAGUGAGACUUGUGCUGUCUCUACCCCUGUGCCUACCCAACAACUUGAUCCUUCAUCUGCAUCCUCUGUUUCUCAAAAUAGUCAAGUCAACAUAAUGUCUUCACAGCUGGAAGUUUUUCCAAGCAAAGACACUGUUCCAGAGUCUUUACUGAAAUCUAGUCAGAGCACAUCUCUACAAGACUCAACCACACCGACUGAAUUAGUGAUGCAGCACUCUCUUAAAAGCAACUUGGCAGCAGCUGGCCCUCCAGAUAUCUCUAUUAGCUCCACUAUAAUUAGAACCUCUCCACAGUCUUCACCCACAUCUGCACAAACAUCUAGCAAGGUCAUAUCCAUACCAAUUGUGACCACUGACCUUCCUCAACCUUCCUCGGCACCCACCUCUGACUUGUCACAGCCUUCCAUUACACUUAGUACACCAGAAGUCUCACAGGAAUGUGCAUCUAAUCCUAAACAGACAAAGACUGCUCCAUCUCAGUUUCAUGCAAAAUGUGAACCAACAAAAACAUCUGCACCUUUAAGCCAAAUGACUAUAACCUCUGCACCUUCACCAACAUCACCUGACCAAAUGACGGUUGAUCCUCCUCUGUCAUCGUCCUUUUCCAGCCAGAGCAGCGCACACAGGCCUCACAGCCCUGCAGAACAGCCUGCAUAUGGGAAACAGCAAAGCCAAAAAGUCUCACAGAAGGAGGGACAGAUUGAAAACAAAGAGGAAAUGGAAAAGAAAAAUUCUAGAAUACCAGAGCACGUAGAGAGUGAUGACAUUCAGUCUCAGGCCAAAAGGAGGAGAGUGGAUGAUCCAAUGUCCGAUGCAUCACAGCCUAUAUCCUCAAUCUCAGAAGCAGUGAUGCAAACUGUUCCUGAGAGCGACAGUUUGGAUAAGCCAGUAGAAGAAGAGAGUCAGACAGAGCGAGAAAACAGAGCCUCUGGCAAAAAAAGAAGCAUUAGCAGACAAAGCAGUCAGGAAUCUGUCCGAUCCUCCUCCCCCUCCUCUGUUUCUUCCGGUGGCACUCGCUUGUCUUUGUCAAAAAAGGCUGGAGAGAGCAGGAUGCCUGCAAAGAGGAAACGAGUGGAGACGGACUCAGAAAAGGAGAGUGCACACAGAGAGACUCCUAAAGAUCCAGUGACUCCUGCCAGAAGACGGUGUUCAAACUCCUCCUCCUCCUCCUCCUCAGACUCUGAAGACUCAACUGGCCAAAAGAGACGUCUUACUCGCUCAUCGCAUAAACAUUUGGAGGAGACCCAGAGUGACAAAGGUGGGGAGAAGACUAACAGACGCAGGAGGAGAUCAGAUAAGAAGAGUCAUGAAGCUGCCACAGAAGGGGAGUCCAGUGGAGUAACACCCCAUAGGAUAACCCGUAAAUCAACUCCAACCUCACCCGAGCCUGAGGUGCUGGGCAAACGUUGUUCGGCUCUCAAUGCUGCUGCCAAACUCUUGGCUAUGAGAGGACGGGGACCAGAUACACCAAGUCCUAGCUCAAAGGGUAAGGCUGCAGGACAACAAACCACCUCUGAAAAAAGCAUCAAGCCUAAGGGCAGGCCAGGACAGGACUCCCCUAAGACAAAUUCAGUUCAUAAUAAAACGGGUAGUGGUCGACACACCCCUACUCAUUUAACUGAUUCCCCGCAGUCGACAACUGGGGCAAGUCUCUCUGCUGCCCGUUCUACACGGCAGCGACCAGGCAACCUUGUGCCUCCCUUGAAAUCUGAAAACAAGCGGGCAAAAAGAGAGGAAAAGAAAAAGACCUCUGAUCAGAAGGAGGAGGUGGAGGAUGAGAACAGGGAGACGAGGUCUUCGAGAGGUCACAGCGCAUGCAGUAGCAUUAGCAGUGAAAGAGCAAGCAGUAGGAGCCGGAGCAGCAGUAACAGCAGUCAGUGCGCUCACAGCCUAAGCUCUCGCAGUACCGGGCCACCACGUUCCCGUUCACGAGCUCCUUCCUCUGGCAGUGAUACAGAGAGAGGCAAAAGCAGGCAGAAGAAAACAGGAGAGAGCAGAGGUCGUGAAAGCAGGAGAGGGAGACGAUCGCAGAAGCACGAAAAGCCAGAGCUGAGUGCUGGGUCCAGCGAGGGAACUCCUGACAGGGUGCUUCGGAGUGUUGCUGCCUUGGCAGCAGCCCAGGCUCGGACUCCUGCCAGCAACACCCGCUCCUCCUCCACCCAACACAGGCACUCCAAGACCUGAUCGGGACAAAAGGCUGAACUAUUAGGUGGUGGAAUGAACUAACGAGAACUGCAGUGGAGAGCGGACAAAUUUUACGGGUUUUGAGGAACGGGGAUCAAUCUUAAAACUUGCCAUUCUUUAACACUGUCAAUGGGGAGAGGUAAAAUCAAGUCCGUUGCACUUUGCGAUAAGAGAUGAACUUGCUUUUGACGCAUUCUCACCUAUGUCAAGUUAAGCCAUCUUCAGUGUGGAGAGGAAGCGUAGAUGCAAGGCAGAGAUGUGAGCAAAAAGGGUACCUGUUCAAAAUGUGGGAUUGCUGUCAUCACGAGAUUGCAAAGACAGUACCUCAAAAAUACCACAAGGACUUCGUAAAGCUGGGCAAGGGGCAAGAGUUGUUGUUAGUUCACACUAUGUACUGUAAUCAAAUAAAGACUGGAAUACUAAAAGAAGUAUGUGUUAAGAUGGGUCACUUAGGUUGUACCCUUUAUACAGAGUUUACUUGUGCUGCAGAGCAGAUCGCGAUACAUCAUUUAUGCUACAUUCAAAAGAUUGAGUGGGAUUGUUCAAUUGUUAUAACAUUUUUAAACAGUUGGGUUCUGACAAAAUAUUUGCCAGCCGUUGACUAUUGUUUGUUUCAAGUCAGUUAAUGAAUUAAGAAUGUUGUGGUUUCUUCCAGGGUAUGAAGAACAGAGCAGGUCGGUUAAUGUGAUUUUUGCUGCACUAUGCUGGAAGUUGGUCUUCACUCAGACCUUUGUCUUGUGUAAAAACAUUUUUUCUACCUGUCCAUUAAUUUUACAUCCAGCCUGCAUUUUUCCAUUUGCACAUCUCACAUGACCCUGGCGUUGGAGUGCAUUGUGAUUUAGGUUUUUGUUUGUUUUUGUUUGUUUGUUUACCCCCUUUAAAAUCAGAUUUACUUCUUUACUGGUACCUCACAUAAUGUGUAAGUACAGCUCUUGAGCUUGUGAUGAAUCUUGAAGUCUACUUGUCAUUUGCUUUCUGGCAAUACAGAUGUGAGGGUAAAUCUUUUUCCAUCUUUUCAAGGUAUUGGUCAAUAUGGUCUCCUUUUUGUUACAUUUUAUUGUCAGUCUCAAAUCAUUGUGACAAAGUGAGAGUGCCUGUUGAUCCGCAUAGAGGAUCCCUGUCUGCGUUGUUAAGGAAAGUUUGGGAUUCAAACAUUUUUAAUGUUUAAAGUGUAAUAAAGACAUUUUCCAUCCUAAACCACAAGAGGUACAUGUCUGUUUGCAACCAAAUUGAAACAUCUUUAAUGUAAAUUGCUGUUUUCAAAAUAAGUCCUUUUUAUGGCGAGCCUAAAUGGAAAUAUUCCUGCAAGACCCUUCAGUAUGUUUUUUUUUGUUUUUUUCCUUUCCUAUUUUUUCAGCUGAACCUUAGCAGUCAGUGGUUGUCUUUGUCCCAUAUUAAUGGAAGAGACGUCCUUUGGGGGAUUGAUAGAAUGUGGUGAUGGUCUUAUUUUUAUUUUUUUGUGUGUUCUAAUUUGUUACAUUCCUUAUGUUCCCUUGUAAUUCCACAUCGUUUUACUUGAAAGAUUGAAACAACAAAAGUCGGUUGAAUAAAAAGACCAAAAAUAAAUAUUUUAGUUGUCAUUUGUUCAUGGAGUAUUUUUUUUUUUAACGCGGUCAAGAUACCCGCACUUUAGCGAUUCACAGUCAAUCAUCCGUGCAUUAUAUCCUAGCGCGCCUAUAUUCGCCAUUUUAUGGUUUUUCGACGCUCACCGCAAACUAACGCUCCUUAAGCAAACACAUUCGUAUUUUUCAAGCGCUUUGGUGUAGACACGCACUUUUAUUACAUUUAAAA
Molecule: long non-coding RNA, 5976 nt
Organism: Electrophorus electricus (electric eel)
Lineage: Eukaryota; Metazoa; Chordata; Actinopteri; Gymnotiformes; Gymnotidae
Source: Ensembl